AACGCGUACGAGAAAUUGUUCACUCACUCGACUAAGUGCAAAGUGACCGAGCAGUCGUGUCGCGAUAUCGCCUCACAUCGUCACCCGUCCAACAAGUUAGUGAGUUGAGCUUCUUGUGUGUGUGGCGCUGAAUUGAACGAAACAGUGUUACAUAAGGAAAAGUAAGAAAGUUUUAACCGAAAUAAAAUAGAGCUGAAAGCUAUCAGUUCAACCUGCGCACUUAAGGUGACAAAAAGAGCUUGCAAAUUUUUGCCUGCGUGUGAGUGUGUACGAGUGAGUGUAAGCGCAACCGAAAGCAAUCGAAAAAAAAGAAAGCAAAUACAACAACUUCCGCCCAAAAAGGGCUAUAGUGUAAAGCAGUUUGGUAAUUGAUAAAACCUGCAUAAAAACCUCAUAACCAACAUAAACCCCCCCCCCCGUGUCCCGUGUGUGCGUGCGUGUGUGUGAGUGAGCGUGUGCAUAUCUCUGUGUAACAGUGUGCGCGAAAGCUAUCAACCAUCCUUUGCCGAAACCGAAAAGGAUAAUAAAGUGGGAAUAAUCUCCUAAGCAACAACGAUGGCGGAAGAUCUGCGAGACCGUAACGAUCCGGAGCUGAAAUAUCUGUCGGUGGAGCGAAAUUCGUUCAAUGAUCCGGCUACGCAGGCCGAGUGGACACAAAAGCGGUUAGUUUGGGUACCGCAUGAAUCACAGGGUUUCGUCGCUGCCAGUAUCAAAGGCGAGCGUGGCGAUGAGGUGGAGGUCGAGCUGGCCGAAACCGGCAAGCGCGUGCUGGUACUUAAGGAUGACAUCCAGAAAAUGAACCCGCCCAAAUUCGACAAAGUCGAAGAUAUGGCCGAGCUGACGUGCCUGAACGAAGCCUCUGUCCUGCACAACAUCAAGGACCGAUACUACUCCGGUUUGAUAUAUACAUACUCGGGUCUGUUCUGCGUAGUGGUGAACCCGUACAAGAAGCUGCCUAUCUACACCGAGAAGAUCAUGGAGAAAUACAAAGGCAUCAAACGGCACGAAGUGCCACCACACGUAUUCGCGAUCACAGACACCGCCUAUAGAUCGAUGCUUCAAGAUCGAGAGGAUCAAUCAAUUCUUUGCACUGGCGAGUCGGGCGCGGGUAAAACCGAGAACACAAAGAAAGUUAUCCAGUAUUUAGCGUACGUCGCUGCAUCGAAACCGAAGGGAUCCGUCGCGACACCAACGCCAGCACUUAUCAUCGGUGGUCACCACACGAGUUUAUCGGGCGAGUUGGAGCAGCAGCUGCUUCAGGCAAAUCCCAUUCUGGAAGCGUUCGGUAAUGCCAAGACGGUGAAAAAUGACAAUUCGUCUCGUUUCGGCAAAUUUAUUCGGAUAAACUUUGACGCUUCGGGUUACAUUUCCGGAGCUAACAUCGAGACGUAUCUGCUGGAGAAGUCACGUGCCAUUCGCCAGGCGAAAGAUGAGCGUACAUUCCACAUCUUCUACCAGCUGCUGGCCGGCGCAUCGCCCGAACAACGCGAGCGCUUCAUCCUUGACGACGUUAAGACAUAUCCAUUUUUGUCCAACGGUGGGCUGCCGGUACCGGGAGUGGAUGAUUAUGCCGAAUUCCAGGCCACAGUGAAGAGCAUGAACAUUAUGGGCAUGACAGCGGAGGACUUUAAUUCGAUCUUCCGCAUUGUGAGUGCGGUGCUGCUGUUCGGCUCGAUGACGUUCAAGCAGGAGCGCAAUUCGGACCAAGCCACGCUGCCUGACAAUACGGUGGCGCAGAAAAUAGCGCAUCUGCUUGGCCUGAGCGUGACGGACAUGACGAAGGCAUUCCUGACGCCCCGUAUCAAGGUUGGGCGAGACUUUGUGACCAAGGCGCAGACGCGGGAGCAGGUAGAGUUCGCCGUGGAAGCGAUCGCUAAGGCAUGCUACGAGAAGAUGUUCAAGUGGCUGGUAAAUCGGAUAAAUCGAUCACUCGAUCGUACCAAGCGUCAGGGUGCCUCGUUCAUCGGUAUUCUCGAUAUGGCUGGUUUUGAAAUAUUCGAACUGAACUCGUUCGAGCAGCUGUGCAUUAACUACACGAACGAAAAGCUCCAGCAACUUUUCAACCACACCAUGUUCAUCCUCGAACAGGAAGAAUAUCAGCGUGAAGGCAUCGAGUGGAAGUUCAUCGAUUUCGGGCUCGACCUGCAGCCAACGAUUGAUCUGAUCGAUAAACCGGGCGGCAUUAUGGCUUUGUUGGAUGAGGAGUGCUGGUUCCCAAAGGCAACCGACAAAUCGUUUGUGGAGAAGCUGGCCGCCGCUCAUUCCAUGCAUCCGAAGUUCAUGAAGACGGACUUUAGAGGUGUGGCGGACUUUGCUGUCGUUCACUACGCGGGCAAAGUGGAUUACUCGGCGACAAAAUGGUUGAUGAAAAAUAUGGACCCACUGAACGAAAACGUGGUGUCUUUGCUGCAAGCAUCGCAGGAUCCAUUUGUGGUGCAGAUUUGGAAGGACGCUGAGAUUGUCGGUAUGGCACAGCAGGCUCUCACCGACACCCAGUUCGGUGCUCGAACACGCAAAGGUAUGUUCCGUACCGUUUCGCAUCUGUACAAGGAGCAGCUCGCGAAGCUUAUGGAUACGCUGCGCAACACGAACCCGAAUUUUGUCCGCUGCAUAAUCCCGAACCACGAAAAGCGUGCGGGAAAAAUUGAUGCACCGCUUGUGUUGGAUCAAUUGCGCUGCAACGGUGUGCUCGAGGGAAUCCGUAUCUGCAGGCAGGGCUUCCCUAAUCGCAUUCCGUUCCAAGAGUUCCGACAACGGUACGAACUACUUACGCCUAACGUCAUUCCUAAAGGUUUUAUGGAUGGCAAACGGGCUUGCGAGCAGAUGAUCAAAUCGUUGGAACUGGACAGUAAUUUGUAUCGCAUCGGCCAGUCGAAGAUCUUCUUCCGUGCGGGUGUGUUAGCUCAUCUCGAGGAGGAACGUGACUAUAAGAUUACGGACUUGAUCGUCAACUUCCAAGCGUUCUGUCGCGGUUUCCUUGCUCGCCGUAAUUAUCAAAAACGGCUACAACAGCUAAAUGCGAUUCGUAUUAUUCAGCGCAACUGUGCCGCUUAUCUGAAGUUGCGCAACUGGCAGUGGUGGCGUCUGUACACGAAAGUGAAACCGUUGCUCGAGGUAACCAAGCAAGAGGAGAAGCUGGUGCAAAAGGAAGAUGAGCUACGUCAAAUACGCGACAAGCUUGAGAACUUGUCGAAGAAUUCUCAGGAGUAUGAGAAGAAAUAUCAACAGGCGAUGGAGGAGAAGACACAUCUAGCCGAACAACUGCAAGCGGAAAUAGAGCUGUGUGCCGAAGCGGAAGAAGGACGUGCUCGUCUAGUUGCUCGUAAGCAGGAGCUUGAAGAACUGAUGCAGGACCUCGAAUCGCGCAUCGAAGAAGAGGAGGAACGUGUGAACGCACUGACAAGCGAAAAGAAGAAACUUCAAAUCAACAUUCAGGACCUGGAAGAGCAGCUAGAGGAGGAGGAAGCCGCGCGUCAGAAGCUUCAGCUCGAGAAGGUACAACUCGAUGCAAAGUUGAAGAAAAUGGAAGAAGACGUAGCAUUGAUUGAAGACCAGAAUCACAAACUGGUGAAGGAGAAGAAACUGCUAGAGGAACGUGCCAACGAUCUGUCUCAAACGCUUGCUGAAGAAGAAGAGAAAGCGAAACAUCUUGCCAAGCUGAAGGUGAAACACGAGUCGACGAUCGCAGAGCUUGAGGAGCGCCUUUUGAAGGAUCACCAGCAGCGCCAGGAAGCGGAUCGCUCGAAGCGAAAGAUUGAAACGGAAGUAGCCGAUUUGAAGGAGCAGAUCAAUGAACGACGCAUGCAGAUCGAGGAGAUGCAGCAGCAGCUGGUGAAACGCGAAGAAGAACUCGCACAGACACUUGUGCGCAUCGACGAAGAGUCGGCAGCGAAGGCGGCGGCUCAGAAAACACAGCGCGAACUCGAAUCGCAACUGGCCGAAAUCCAGGAAGAUCUGGAAGCCGAGAAGCUUGCUCGUUCCAAGGCAGAAAAGCAAAAGCGUGAUCUUAACGAAGAACUUGAAGCUCUGAAGAACGAACUGUUGGAUUCGCUGGACACCACAGCUGCACAACAAGAACUGCGAUCGAAACGGGAACAAGAGGUAGCCACAUUAAAGAAGACGCUGGAAGAUGAGUCUGCCAACCAUGAAUCAUCCUUGAUGGACAUGCGUCAUAAGCAUGCGCAAGAGAUUUCUUCCAUUAACGAGCAGCUGGAGAAUCUGAAAAAAAUGAAGGGUGGCUUGGAGAAGAGCAAACAGCAGCUUGAGGCAGAAAAUGCCGAUCUUGCCACCGAACUGCGCAACGUAAACCAAUCGCGCCAGGAGAACGAUCGUCGGCGUAAACAAGCAGAAACACAGAUCGCCGAGUUGCAGGUAAAACUGGCUGAAGUCGAUCGUGUUCGUGUCGAGCUCCAGGACAAGGUGACAAAACUCCAACAAGAAACAGAAAACAUCACUCAACAGCUUGACGAAGCCGAAUUGAAAGCAUCGGCAGCAAUCAAGAGCGCUGGCAAUCUAGAAAGUCAGUUGACCGAAGCUCAGCAGUUGCUGGAGGAAGAAACGCGUCAAAAACUUGGUUUGAGCUCCAAGUUACGUCAAAUCGAAUCAGAGAAGGAGGCGCUCCAAGAACAACUAGAAGAGGAUGAAGAAGCAAAGACUAACUACGAAAAGAAGCUGGCCGAGCUGAAUUUUACCAUUCAGGAGCUCAAGAAACGCUCGGAGGAGGACUCGGACAUUGCCAAGGAACUGGAGGAAUCGAAGAAGAAAAUGAACAAAGAUAUUGAAACGCUUCAGCGCCAGAUCCAGGAAUUGCAGGCGGCCAACGAUCGCUUGGAUAAGAGCAAAAAGAAGAUCCAGUCUGAGCUUGAGGAUGCGACCAUCGAGCUAGAAACUCAGCGUACCAAGGUGUUGGAGCUGGAAAAGAAACAGAAGAACUUCGACAAAGUGUUGGCCGAAGAGAAGGCUAUCGGCGAACAAGUGGCCCAGGAACGUGACGCUGCUGAGCGCGAGGCAAGAGAGAAAGAAACGAAGGUUCUCUCACUAUCCCGCGAGCUUGACGAAGCAUUCGAGAAGAUUGACGAGCUGGAAACGAAGCGCAAGGGACUGCAGAAUGAAUUGGACGAGCUGGCAAAUACACAGGGAACAGCCGACAAAAAUGUGCAUGAGCUAGAAAAGGCAAAGCGGGCCCUAGAAAGUCAAUUGGCGGAACUGAAGGCACAAAAUGAGGAGCUCGAGGACGAUCUACAACUGACCGAAGAUGCCAAGCUGCGGUUAGAGGUAAACAUGCAAGCCCUGCGCGCACAGUUCGAACGUGACAUUCAGGCAAAGGAGGAACAAUCGGAAGAGAAGCGACGCGGAUUGGUCAAAGCGUUGCGGGAUCUCGAAGCCGAGCUCGACGAAGAACGCAAACAGCGUGCCGCUGCCGUGGCAGCGAAGAAAAAGCUCGAGGGUGACAUAAAGGACAUGGAGGCGACGCUCGAGAUGAACAACAAGGUGAAGGAGGACGCACUGAAGCAGGCAAAGAAGCUGCAGGCACAAAUUAAAGACGCCAUCCGUGACGCCGAGGAAGCUAAGGCGGCUAAGGAGGAGUUAGCUGCCAUUAGUAAGGAGUCUGAGCGCAAGGUGAAAACACUCGAGGCGGACGUAAUGCAACUGUCCGAAGAUCUGUCCAGUUCGGAACGGGCACGCCGUGCUGCGGAGGGCGAGCGUGACGAGCUGCUCGAGGAAAUCAAUUCCAACUCCAACAAGGGCUCGCUAAUGAUCGACGAAAAGCGACGCCUUGAAGCACGCAUUGCCGCCCUCGAGGAAGAACUCGAAGAAGAACAAUCCAACCUCGAGCUCAUGGUGGAUAGAAACCGCAAGGCUCAGCUUACGAUCGAACAGCUGACGACUGAGCUGGCUACGGAAAAGUCGAACGCACAGAACAACGAAGCUCUCAAGUGUGGACUCGAACGGCUUAACAAAGAGCUUAAGGCGAAACUGUCCGAACAGGAGACGGCACUCCGCACGAAGCUGAAGGCAGCCACGGCCGCUUCCGAGGCCAAGAAUAUGAAUCUGGAGAAACAGCUCGAAAACGAAACGAAGGAGCGGCUGGCCGUGCAAAAGGCAAACCGCAAGCUCGAGAAACGCAUCAAGGAGCUGACGAUGAACAUCGAGGACGAGCGACGACAUGCCGAUCAGUUUAAGGAGCAAAUAGAAAAGGCCAACAAUCGCAUGAAAACGCUCAAGCGCAACCUCGACGAAGCGGAAGAAGAAAUCCAGAAAGAGAAGACACUGAAACGAAAGGCCCAGAGGGAAUGCGAAGAUAUGCUCGAAAGUCACGAAGCACUAUCGCGGGAAGUGAAUGCACUCAAGUCGAAACUGAGCAUACACAAAGACUCGAAAAAGUAAUCAAACCUAACUCAAGGAGACGGAUGCGCAUUUUUUAGCGUCGUUCAAUAAUAUGUACAGUAGAGGACGAUUACGUAGGUGUAUAGCUACGAAAUAGGGUGAUAGUUAAAUUCUUGUUCCAUGUUAUGCUGUGUCAUGUUAUUGAAAAGAAGGCUGAUGGAUGGAAAGGUGGGGUGAAUGUGUGUAGGUUGGAAGCAAACACACUUUUCACGUAAUUAACGGAUGUGAUAAGAGUAAACCUCAACUAUCUCUAAAGUAAAUGCGUUAAAGACGAGGUGGUGCAAUGGGCAGUUUGAGCUCGUCCCGAUUGACACCGAAGCGCGAGAAUGAUUCGAUCUCGGUACAGGAUGAAUCGCUCGAUGGCGAAGAUAACAGCAACUGACGAAAGACGUCUUCCAAUGGCAAGCAGCAGCAGCAGUAUCAGUCACAACACCAACAACUCUACCACCAUUCCGACAACCUUUACUGAGAAAUGAACAUGAACAGGUGGCAAUAAUGCAUAAAUAGGUUUACCAGCAAUAAAGGGACGAAUGAGCAAACAAACCCCCUUGGGGGCGGGUCGUACAUACAUACGCACGUGCACACAAUAUAAGAUCAGACGAAAUGCAACCAGUGACCAACUGUGCGAAGUCAAAUCGAAAAUGCAUUUACCCAUUUCUAUCAACACAUUUGCUAUCAUCGACCAUGAUAAAAGGGCUUCGAUUGCUGGAUGAAGGAAAUGUGUACAUGUACACAUAUAUGUGUGUGUGUGAGAGAGAAAGAGAGAGAGUUACAAAGCGAAUGUUUUUUUUCUAUCUGCCUUACAUUGUAUUGAUUGUUUGAUGAAAUCAAGUUGAUGUUUUUAUGUAAAAGCGCAACACUAUCGAUGCGUUUAUGUUCACAUUCCUGUUAUUUUUUAAGAAACGAAAAGGGCGAGAUGAGCAUUGGAUAUAACAGCACUAUGGUUUCCAAUGAUCUGCAGAAUGAUUUUAAAGAAAAUGCAGUCUCUUUUCCCUGCUACACCCUUGUAAAGUGUGCGCAGGAAGCUUAGAUGGACAACGUUCAAUUGAUCACUAGAAAUAAACUAAUCGCAACUAGGAAAUGACAGUGCUGCUGGAACCCCGAUAACGAAGAGAAUGAAAUGACUAUGGUGAAUGUAUUUCUGUGUGAGAGUGUACCCUUAGCAAAGUGCCAUGUUUAAUAACAAUCAAAUCUAGAUAGAUCGAACGAAGGAAGCAAUCUGAAAACGAAAGGGGUUUCUUUCAUGCGCGAGACACCAGCAUAGGAAAGGCCCAACUUAAAACGAAUUUGUGCAAGGCGGUAUGCCUGUCAUUCUCCUGCGAGGAACAUCCCCAACCUGGUCGUUCUGAAUCCGUGCGAACGUCAUCAUCCCGUCCCGUUUUGUGAGUUUUACCUUUUUUUUUGUUUUUUUUUGUUUGUUCUCAUCGUCCUUAUCUGUGCGUCAAAUUGUGUAUGUUUUUUUUUUUUAUCUGUGAGAUGCAAUACCAGUUGCUCAGAAGAUGAUUGUCGGGAAAUUUUCUAUGUACUUGUUUGUUCGUGUGUAACGAUCGCCAUCGUCUUGUAUUUUGUUGUAUUUGUUAGUUGUGUCCAUCGUUGUGUGCGAAUUCAAUCAUAUCGGAAUUAUCGGUUAGCGCAAAAUGUGGGUACUAGAAGAGGAUCAUCUAAGAAGGUUCGUCGUACUGUUUAUUGUAAAGGAGGGAAUAAGAGCAAAAAAAGAGAUAGAGAAAACGAGAAAAUGUGAAAGAAGCAGCAACAUUUUUUUUUGGGUUUUUAUUUCGUAUCCUCUGAUUUUGAUUAUUAUUUAAUGAUUUUUAAUUCUUUCUAUUUCGUCCUUUAUUUAACUGUGUAUUAUUACUUUUAUUAUUAUGAUUAUUAUUACUAUUAUACCUUAAAACCGACUCGCAGCCGGCACCGAUGCCGCCGCAAUCGAAGCAAGCUUUGGAAACGAAUCGAAAUCCCUGUAGCGCGAAAGAGAAAAAGGGAAAGAGAUAGAGGGGAGGGUAAACUUCAUCUAGAGGGGUGGUUCACCCCUCAGCAGGAAGCACCUUUUCUAUUACACUGAAUGAAACUGAUCAUUUUUUGAGCAAAUAAGAAGAAAAUUGAAUAACUCAAAACACAACACUAGACCUCCUCACGCGCCUUCACAUCCCUUGCUCCUACACUCCCCUCCAUCCCCUGUUACAUACAUUUAAUAAGCCCCAUGUACUUUUUUAUAGGAGAUGAUAAAUCGGACACAGCUGUGAAGAGCAGCAAAUGAUUAAAAUUGAUAAUAAAAUAUCGUUUAAAUAUUGAAAAAAAAAAAAA
Anopheles funestus (African malaria mosquito) is the source of this 8691-nucleotide RNA transcript. It is a transcript of the gene named myosin heavy chain, non-muscle, with no coding region annotated. NCBI's taxonomy places the organism in Eukaryota, Metazoa, Arthropoda, Insecta, Diptera, Culicidae. The record is from RefSeq and is a predicted model, not a curated record. The transcript is spliced from 15 exons.